CAGUCGUACCUGCGGACAAUCAGCUUUUGAGUGUGAUUAUGUGGUUUAUGAGGAGUUUAACCGCCCUCAUGUUUUACAUAUUCGUGCUCUUGGGUGUACUUGCCCGUGUGGUAGGUUAACAUCAAUUUUGGUCGUCAUAAAAUGACUGGAGGAUGUAGCUUCGGUCUCGUAUCGAAGUGUUAUAGACUCU
This 190-nucleotide ribosomal RNA is filed under the name Glomus sp. (unid). Lineage: Eukaryota; Fungi; Glomeromycota; Glomeromycetes; Glomerales; Glomeraceae. The record is from RNAcentral.